UAGUCCACACCGUAAACGAUGGAUACUAGAUGUUGGAGGUACUUAUCCCUUCGGUGUCGUAGCUAACGCAUUAAGUAUCCCGCCUGGGGAAUACGGCCGCAAGGUUAAAACUCAAAGAAAUUGACGGGGGCCCGCACAAGCGGUGGAGUAUGUGGUUUAAUUCGAUGCAACGCGAAAACCUUACCUGGACUUGACAUCCUUUGCUAUACAGCGAAAGUUGUAGUUCUCUUUUGAGACGAAGUGACAGGUGCUGCAUGGCUGUCGUCAGCUCGUGUCGUGAGAUGUUGGGUUAAGUCCCGCAACGAGCGCAACCCUUGUCGUUAGUUGCCAGUAUUAAGUUAGGCACUCUAGCGAGACCGCUUGCCGAUAAGGCAGAGGAAGGUGGGGAUGACGUCAAGUCAGCAUGGGCCCUUACGUCCAGGGGCUACACACGUACUACAAUGGCGUAUACAGAGGGCAGCGAACUCGCGAGGGUAAGCAAAAUCCCAAAAAGUCGUACGUAGUCCGGAUUGGAGUCUGCAAC
Molecule: ribosomal RNA, 523 nt
Filed under: uncultured bacterium
Lineage: Bacteria
Description: bacterial SSU rRNA
Rfam family: Bacterial small subunit ribosomal RNA
Source: RNAcentral